Astatotilapia calliptera (eastern happy) is the source of this 728-nucleotide long non-coding RNA. NCBI's taxonomy places the organism in Eukaryota, Metazoa, Chordata, Actinopteri, Cichliformes, Cichlidae. The record is from Ensembl.
AAUGAAUUAAAGGAGAAACAGUGCGAGGGAGGAGUAAAGAACACUUGCUCAGAGUGGGUGAGUCAGUCACCUGCCGUUUGGCCCCCUCAUCAUAUGACACACGGUGGCACAGCACGGCUGUCAUCGACUCCGCCGAGCUUGGAUCAGCACAAACUGCAACAGAGUUAAGGUCCCAAGAAGUUGAUUCUGUUCAUGUGGAUGUAGUGUUUUCAGUGAGAGAAAUGUUCCAUCACUCAUGUGGGCGGCCCGGAUGUAAGUGGGACAUUGAACACAUUUAUUCUUUUCUUUUUCAGCUAUUCUGUUGUUAUUUGAUGGCGUCCAUGAAAUUAUCUUGACGUUUUCCACAUGUGAAUAAUCUUUUAUACCAUAGAAUGAUGAACUCCUCCCAGGUUGAUGGGCACCAGCAAUUGUUUUUUCAUAUCUGAACAUUGUGUUAGCACAUAUCUGAAUGCUCCAGAUAAACAAAGUGACAGAACUUGUUUUUUUUUUUUCUUUCAAUCGGUCGAUCAAUGAAUCCAGUCCAGAGGUUCCAGCCUCCUGCUUAAUUCCUAUUGAAGAGGCUUGAGUUCUGUGGAAAUGGUGGUGUCAUCCUCCUCUCUCAGCCAUCGGUUCAGAUUUGCCUCUGAGCGCAGCGAGACUUCCUGAUUUGUGUGACAAACACAAAUGCCUUUAAAUUCCCAGAGCUCCGGCUCCUUACCAGCCUCAUACCUUGUAAUGCAUAAUUCACA